This 259-nucleotide ribosomal RNA is filed under the name uncultured Pseudomonadota bacterium. RNAcentral's name for it is "uncultured proteobacterium partial 16S ribosomal RNA". It matches the Rfam family "Bacterial small subunit ribosomal RNA", at positions 1 to 288 of the family's 1533-position model. The record is from RNAcentral. Lineage: Bacteria; Pseudomonadati; Pseudomonadota.
UAGUGAGUUUGAUCCUGGCUCAGAACGAACGCUGGCGGCAGGCUUAACACAUGCAAGUCGAACGGUUGCAGCAAUGCAGCAGUGGCAGACGGGUGAGUAACGACGUGGGAACCUUCCUAGGGUACGGAACAACUCAGAGAAAGUUUGGUGCUAAUACCGUAUACGUCCGUGAGGAGAAAGAUUUAUCGCCCUUAGACGGGCCCGCGUCGGAUUAGGUAGUUGGUGGGGUAACGGCCUACCAAGCCUACGAUCCAUAGCU